Long non-coding RNA from Raphanus sativus (radish), 1097 nucleotides. RefSeq lists it as uncharacterized. NCBI's taxonomy places the organism in Eukaryota, Viridiplantae, Streptophyta, Magnoliopsida, Brassicales, Brassicaceae. The transcript is spliced from 2 exons. The record is from RefSeq and is a predicted model, not a curated record.
AAUGGGGUUGGAGAUGCCCUAAAUGAAGUGGGGUUGGAGAGGAUUUUACUCCAAAAUGAUGUUUGAAGUAGAAAAUGGAGUAGGGUCGGAGAUGCCCUAAGUAAGAAAUAGUAAGAUAAUGCAAAGCAAUAAACAUGACCCAGAAAUUAAAACAUGGCUAACGAACUUUCAAAUUUCCCCCAAGACUACCAAACUUGCAAGACCCGUUAAGUCGUUCAUAGCUCGUUGCCUACAUUUUUGUCUUCUUCUUCUUCAGCUUUUAUUAUCUAUCACUGGUUUACCAAAAGUGCAAGACCCGUUAAAAAGUCUCCUUCUCUCUCUCUCUCCCUACAUUAAAUUUUUUUUUUUUUUUGACAAAUACAUUAAAUUUUAUUUUGUUCUUUAGCUUUUAAUAUUAUCUACCAUAGGUUCAACUUUCUCUUAUCUUCAUCUCUCUGGUCUAUAUAAAAUGCGGGCAUGAGUCACACUGAUGAGUAAACUAAGAGGAAAUAUUAAGAUGGCAUCUUCUAUAGUGUCCAAAGGAUUUUUUGAGCGUUCCAGUUUCUCGUCCAUGCUUCUCUUUCUCUCUCUUCUUCUUGUGUUUCCCCAUAUCAGUACACAAAUGGAAUUCCGGAAACUUAAGGAGACGUACCAUCCACAUCAAGUGACGGUCCACAGGCGCGUUAGUAUUCCUCGGAAUUAUCGUUCGCCAAGAGUACCGAGCUCAUCAUGUCGCUUCUGUAAGCGUCAUUUCGAUGACCCUUCUCCGCCAACCGAAACGUAUGUUCCUCGUCGUCCCUUUACAAGGCCAAAAGGCCCUCAGAAAUUUCUGCCUCGUCGUCCCAUAACAAUGCCAAAAUGCCUAAAAUUAUUUCCCGCAUGUACACCUCAAAUAAUUGAUAGAACGCCUCCUCCGCCGCCCCCAGGAGCUUUUGAAAGCACAUAUGGACUUGGUCACUGAGCACGCAUUAGCUUCGAAUGCGUCUAAAAUAUAUAUGUGCACGUUUCUUAUGUUAUAUUUUAUUUUUUGGUUCCUGUGGUACGUUAUCCAUAUGCUGGUAUUUCUCAUAUUUUACGGAUAUAUCGAAUGCAAUUAUAUAUGAUAUUUCUGUUCAGCA